RNAcentral lists this long non-coding RNA (1053 nucleotides) under Mus spicilegus (steppe mouse). RNAcentral's name for it is "lncRNA (ENSMSIG00000000421.1)". Lineage: Eukaryota; Metazoa; Chordata; Mammalia; Rodentia; Muridae. The record is from RNAcentral.
AGUAGCUCCACCGCAUUCCGCUGACAGGCGCCCCAAGCAACCCUCCCCCGCGAGAAGGUCAAGUGCCACUGGAACGCUCUUCUUGGAGUCCCAAACUUGGGGUCACAUGCCACAGGAGAAUUAAGCUGCUCUCAGACCUAGAAGAAACAUCCAGGCUCCGGAUCAGCUGUGUGCAAGCAUCAGCCUGGGGAACGGGUUAGAGCAGUGGUUGUGGCGGGCCCUGGAGGAUGGAGAUAACGUCAGAUAAACAGGUGCGUGCCUCCCUCCGCCCCUCAGAUACCCGGCCCGACGUUCUUUACAGCCCUGCUCAGGUAGAUCAUUAUUAUCAUAAAUUUUCUUAUCUCUGAUGCUUUUCCAAUUACGGGUAACAACAGGAAAGCCGCCGUUGGCUUCUGAAAGGUCACCAAGACGUAGAGCCAUUUGGGAAGGGGUGACGUGCGGCUGGCAGUGUAAAUCUCUACAAGUUUUAUGUACAAGUCAGGGCAGAAAUGUAAGUGAGAUUCGUAAAACAUAUCUAGAUUUACGGGGUCUCAGCGGGUGAAUAGUGCCUCUCCUCUCAAGCUGUGGGUGUGGGAUUUAACAACUGUUCUUUCCCAGGGUUGGCACACAGCUCCUAGUGACGCAUCUGGACAGAGCCAGCCAGCAUGCCGAGUAUCCUCCUGAGGAUGAUGUUGGCUGUGCAAGUGGCAGCUUGUGAUUUCGGCACGAACGGAAGCCCUGCACUUGGAGCCUGCCAGGCAGGGGUGAGCUCCUUUGUCCGUGAGCUCCUUUGUCUUUGGAGCCUGCCUGGCACUGGAGCCAAGGCUGGGAUGAGGAGAAGUCGGUCAGUCAGCCAGCAGAGACUGAAGUUAGCUUCUGCCAUGGCAUUCAGGGAUAACAGACCAAACGCUCCUCCUACCCCAGGACACCUGGCAGCAUUUGCCAUCGUGGGCUGGGGGGUUGGGGGGUGGGGAGCAGGAGUAAAGCUUCCUGGGAAUUAAUUGAGCUGGAGCUGUCAGAGGAGCCAGUGGGCUGGGUUAGGCUUGGGUUCUGACCACCCGGAGCCAAUCUAGG